RNAcentral lists this ribosomal RNA (504 nucleotides) under uncultured bacterium. RNAcentral's name for it is "bacterial SSU rRNA". It matches the Rfam family "Bacterial small subunit ribosomal RNA", at positions 28 to 524 of the family's 1533-position model. The record is from RNAcentral.
GAUGAGCGCUAGCGACAGGCUUAACACAUGCAAGUCGAGGGGCAGCGGGGGUAGCAAUACCCGCCGGCGACCGGCGCACGGGUGAGUAACGCGUAUGCAAACUUACCUAUCAGAGGGGGAUAACCCGGCGAAAGUCGGACUAAUACCGCAUGAAGCAGGGAUCCCGCAUGGGAAUAUUUGCUAAAGAUUCAUCGCUGAUAGAUAGGCAUGCGUUCCAUUAGGCAGUUGGCGGGGUAACGGCCCACCUAGUCUUCGAUGGAUAGGGGUUCUGAGAGGAAGGUCCCCCACAUUGGAACUGAGACACGGUCCAAACUCCUACGGGAGGCAGCAGUGAGGAAUAUUGGUCAAUGGGCGAGAGCCUGAACCAGCCAAGUAGCGUGAAGGAUGACUGCCCUAUGGGUUGUAAACUUCUUUUAUAAAGGAAUAAAGUCGGGUAUGCAUACCCGUUUGCAUGUACUUUAUGAAUAAGGAUCGGCUAAACUCCGUGCCAGCAGCCGCGGUAAU